AGUUUUCUUCGGGGCAGGGUGAAAUUCCCUACCGGCGGUUACAGUCCGCGACUCCUUUCUUAUGAAGGGACUGAUCUGGUGAAAUUCCGGAACCGACAGUUAAAGUCUGGAUGGGAGAAGAAAAUG
This 126-nucleotide non-coding RNA is filed under the name Spinacia oleracea (spinach). RNAcentral's name for it is "FMN sequence". It matches the Rfam family "FMN riboswitch aptamer (RFN element)". Rfam says of the family: The RFN element is a highly conserved domain that is found frequently in the 5'-untranslated regions of prokaryotic mRNAs that encode for flavin mononucleotide (FMN) biosynthesis and transport proteins. This element is a metabolite-dependent riboswitch that directly binds FMN in the absence of proteins. In Bacillus subtilis, the riboswitch most likely controls gene expression by causing premature transcription termination within the 5' untranslated region of the ribDEAHT operon and precluding access to the ribosome-binding site of ypaA mRNA. The record is from RNAcentral. Lineage: Eukaryota; Viridiplantae; Streptophyta; Magnoliopsida; Caryophyllales; Amaranthaceae. RNAcentral also lists the same sequence under 1 other name.